UAAAAACCAAGUAAUGCCAGCAACCACCAAAAGCCGGAAGAAUCGAAGAACAGAUUCUCCAAUGGAACUUCUGGUGGAAGUGAAGCUCUACCAACACUUUGAUUUCAACCCAGUGAAAUUGAUUUUACAUUCCUAUUAUCCUCUGCAGAACUGUGAGAGAAUAUAUUUCUGUUGUUUUAAGCCACUGAGUUUGUGAUAAUUUGUUAUAGCGGCCAAAAGAAACCAAUUUAAUAGGACUUCAUUAUUCCAGGUUAAAUUGCACUCCUGGGAGUACAAUUGCCAGGAUGUACAGAAGCUACUAGAGAUGUUUUUCCUACCAAAAGGAAGAAGUAAACCAAGAAAGAUGAAGAUGUGGAAUGCGGAAAAUAGGAGACACAACACAAGAGAGAGAGAAAUUCUUAAAAGUGUAGUGAUGGAAAAUCCUAGGAUGAGAAAAUUGAAUCAGGCCUAGAGGGCAACCAGUCAAGACAGUUGCAGGGAAGCAGCUUACAAGAGAGUGUUCUUCAAGGUGAGAGCAUUUGCACAACAAUUGAUGUGAAUAAAAGUCUUGAUAUGAGAUUUAAAAAAUUAGUAAGGAAUUUUCAAUUGAGUUAGCACAAAUUAAAAUAAAAUUAAGUUGAAAUUCAACAACAAAA
Molecule: long non-coding RNA, 635 nt
Filed under: Homo sapiens (human)
Lineage: Eukaryota; Metazoa; Chordata; Mammalia; Primates; Hominidae
Description: HSALNT0286942
Source: RNAcentral